RNAcentral lists this ribosomal RNA (43 nucleotides) under Bipolaris sorokiniana. Its description in RNAcentral is "partial 28S ribosomal RNA". Lineage: Eukaryota; Fungi; Ascomycota; Dothideomycetes; Pleosporales; Pleosporaceae. The record is from RNAcentral.
GACCUUGGAUCCGGUAGGUAUACUCGCUCAAUUUAAGCAUAUA